AGAGAGUCUUGACAAGGGGCUUGAACCCGUGAACUGUGAGAUCAUGACCUGAGCUGAAGUUGGCUGCUUAAGCGACUGAGCCACCCAGGCGCCCCUCCCCUUUCAGCAUUUUAAGUAUUACCUUGCCACUCCUUUCUUGCCAGCCAAAUUUCUGCUGGAAAAUCAACUGACAGUCUUAUGUGGGUUUCCCUUGUAUAUGGCUCUGUUUUGCUGCCUGCAAGAUUUUUCUCUUUACCUUUUUCUAUUUUAAUUAUAAUACAUUGUGGUGUGGCUCCCAUUGCACACUUUUUCCUGGGUGUCUGCUUCCUUACCCAGAUUAGGAAAGUUUUCAGGUAUUAUUUCUUCAAACAAGUUUUCUUCCCUUCUGUGUUCUUCUGGGACCCCUAUCAUGUGCAUGUUAGUACGUUUGUUGUCCCAGUAGUUUCCUAACCUAUCCCCACUUUUUAAAUUCCUUUUUUGCCGUUUGGCUUGGAUUCUUUGUUGUACCCUUCCAGAUCUCUAUCCAUUGUUUUGUAUCCUCUAAUCUGUUGUUAGUUCCUCCUAGUGGAUUUUUCAUUUGUUACAUUCUUCAGCUAACAAGUUCUUGUUUAGUAUUUUCUCUUUGCUGAGGUUCUCCACUCUUCUCUCAAGUCUGAUGAACAUAUUUAUCAUUAUUUUGAACUCUUUUACAGGUAGAUUGCUUAUCUCCAUUUUGUUUUGCCUAUUUCUAUAAAUUGGGCAGAACAGCUUCCUCUCCCAGCCUUGAAGGAAUGAGUGGCCCCGUGUAGGAAUGCCUGCGUAGACCACACAUGCUUGACAACUUUGGAUGAGUCUAUCCCCCAAGAAGAAAACUUUUAAUUUUGGAGAAGUGGUCUCCUCGGGUUGUCGUCUUCACCAAUGAGACACAGACUCGGGAAUUUAAUACACCAAGACGACAGGCUUCUUGUACAGAAGGGCUUGUCACUGGAGACACAACAGGAACUACAGUUUUCCUGCUCUACCCCAAGCCUGUGCAAGUAGGUAUACAGGAGGACAUCCAGCAGCAGUCUGCUGGAAACUACAGUGACCUCACGUAAAAUGUGUGCAGCAUGAUGACUUACGUACACACGUGGAAGUAAUCACUACAAUCAAGUUAAUGAGCGUAUCCCAGUUUCCCUCACAGUUUCACGCGGUCAUGUCUGAGUUCUGGCGAACAAGAUGUCGGCAGAUGUUGAUAAGCCAUCUAGGAAAGCUGUUUACAAGGAGAGGACUCCAGGAGAAAGUCCUUUCAUCUGUAGCUCCACCCACUCGCUCCUCCUGAGCCUUGAGUACAAGGUGAUGGCUGGACUUGAGAGUCACAGACAACCAAAAGCUAACCUGAAUGCAGAAGUCAAUGCUAAUGAUGGCAGGGAGCCUGGCUGGGUCCCUGUGGACACUGUAGAGCCACUGUCAGCUUCAGACUAUCUACUAUGGAUGUGUUUGAUUUGAGAGAAAUAAACCUCCAUCCUCUAGAAGUCACCAUUUUGGGGGGCAUCUCUGUUAAAUGUAGUCGAACCUAAUCCUGUUAUACAACCAUCAUUAAACUCCAUUUUAUCUUCUA
Long non-coding RNA from Herpailurus yagouaroundi (jaguarundi), 1558 nucleotides. RefSeq lists it as uncharacterized. The transcript is spliced from 3 exons. NCBI's taxonomy places the organism in Eukaryota, Metazoa, Chordata, Mammalia, Carnivora, Felidae. The record is from RefSeq and is a predicted model, not a curated record.